Molecule: ribosomal RNA, 275 nt
Filed under: uncultured bacterium
Lineage: Bacteria
Description: partial 16S ribosomal RNA
Rfam family: Bacterial small subunit ribosomal RNA
Source: RNAcentral
CCUACGGGGGGCUGCAGUCGAGAAUCUUCCGCAAUGGGCGAAAGCCUGACGGAGCGACGCCGCGUGGAGGACGAAGGCCUUCGGGUUGUAAACUCCUGUCACGAGUUAAGAAGGGAAGGCAGCGAACAGCUGUCUACUUGACGUAAGCUCGAGAGGAAGCACUGGCUAACUCUGUGCCAGCAGCCGCGGUAAUACAGAGAGUGCAAACGUUGUUCGGAAUCACUGGGCUUAAAGCGCACGUAGGCGGCAUCGUAAGUGUCUGGUGAAAUCCCACG